Molecule: long non-coding RNA, 757 nt
Organism: Photinus pyralis (common eastern firefly)
Lineage: Eukaryota; Metazoa; Arthropoda; Insecta; Coleoptera; Lampyridae
Exons: 2
Source: RefSeq, a predicted model, not a curated record
AUAAAAUCUUUUCCUAUAGUAUGUGGUAAAAUUAACCUCAAAUAGUUAUUUACUUUUUUCAUUAUUAAAAUGAACGUUUUUUUGUAAUUCUUCUUGCUCUUACAAGUUCAAAAUAAGAAAAUGGAAUUUCAAUUGAUAGUUUAAUUCAUGGAAUCGUCGCAAGUUCGGUCUGGCUUUUGGGUAAAAUGGAACUUAUCGCUCUGGUUCGACCGAUCCGAAGGCCCUGUGGUUCUUGAUGGAUGGGAAAGCAUGCAAAGGAGAAAAGGGGGUUUGAAAUGUAAAGCUAGGUCUGGACAUUGCUGUUGAAAGGGUUAUGCAGUGCUCAUAUAGACGUUAGCAUAAUUAAGACUCGCUUUACAUUACCAGACCGAAAGCCUUGGGUAACUUUCGAAAUGUAAUUAAUGGUCAACUGAAUCCAUACCAGAAGUUCCACAAGAAACUUGAGACAAGUACUAACGGAAGAUCGUUGCAGGUAGCUUUACAAAAGCGGACACAUUCUGCCAAGGGAGACAAGAAACUUAAAAGUUGCUUACAAAUCCGUAGCAGAUAUUCAUUGAUCUGGACAUUCCAUUCAUCACAAGAAGCAAACGAAUAUUAUUCGAUGUUGUAGUUUCAAUUUUGUUUAUCCGUAGUAUAAGGUUAUGCAUGCACAAAUUCGCUUAUGCUUUUUUAGAGAUGUAUUUUCCUUAGAUGUAAAUUUCAUAUUAUUCCAAGAGGUUCGAAUUUGGCAAAUAAAAGUAUGUAAUUAAGUCUUCAA